Molecule: ribosomal RNA, 468 nt
Filed under: uncultured bacterium
Lineage: Bacteria
Description: partial 16S ribosomal RNA
Rfam family: Bacterial small subunit ribosomal RNA
Source: RNAcentral
GACGAACGCUGGCGGCGGGCUUAACACAUGCAAGUCGAACGGAAACACCCAGAUGUUGUGUGGUGCUCGAAUGGCGAACGGAUGAGUAACAAGUGAGUAACCUGCCCUCUGAUUUAGGGUAACAUCAACUAAAUAGGGCUAAUAAUGGCUAAUAACUCCGGCUGACUGGUGGGGGGUGGAAAGGUUCGGCGGGUGGGGAUGGUAGCUCGGCUGAGGAGCUUGUUGGUGGGGGAGUAGCGCACAAAGGCUUUGACGGGUAGCCGGCCUGAGAGGGUGAACGGCCUCCUGGGGACUGCGAUACGGACCAGAGUGGUACUGGAGGCAGUAGGGGGGAAUAUUGCACAAUGGGCGGAAGCCUGAUGCAGCAACGCCGGGUGUGGGAUGACGGCCCUCGGGGUGUAAACCGCUUUCGCCUGUGACGAAGCGUGAGUGACGUUAAUGGGUAAAGAAGCACCGGCUAACUACGUG